This 465-nucleotide ribosomal RNA is filed under the name uncultured bacterium. Its description in RNAcentral is "partial 16S ribosomal RNA". It matches the Rfam family "Bacterial small subunit ribosomal RNA", at positions 338 to 795 of the family's 1533-position model. The record is from RNAcentral.
CCUACGGGGCGCUGCAGUGGGGAAUAUUGCGCAAUGGGCGAAAGCCUGACGCAGCGACGCCGCGUGAGGGAUGAAGGUCUUCGGAUCGUAAACCUCUGUCAGCAGGGAAGAACGGUCACUGUGCUAAUCAGCAGUGAAUUGACGGUACCUGCAAAGGAAGCACCGGCUAACUCCGUCCCAGCAGCCGCGGUAAUACGGAGGGUGCGAGCGUUAAUCGGAAUUACUGGGCGGAAAGCGAUCGUAGGCGGUAUGUCAAGUCAAGGGUGAAAUCCCCGCGCUCAACGUGGGAACUGCCUUUGAAACGGGCAAACUGGAGUGUGUGAGAGGAUAGUGGAAUUCCAGGUGUAGGAGUGAAAUCCGUAGAUAUCUGGAGGAACAUCAGUGGCGAAGGCGACUAUCUGGCACAUAACUGACGCUGAGGAGCGAAAGCGUGGGUAGCAAACAGGAGUAGAUACCCCUGUAGUC